This 403-nucleotide ribosomal RNA is filed under the name uncultured bacterium. RNAcentral's name for it is "bacterial SSU rRNA". It matches the Rfam family "Bacterial small subunit ribosomal RNA", at positions 355 to 774 of the family's 1533-position model. The record is from RNAcentral.
UGGGGAAUAUUGCACAAUGGGCGAAAGCCUGAUGCAGCAACGCCGCGUGAGCGAUGAAGGCCUUUGGGUCGUAAAGCUCUGUCCUAGGGGAAGAAUAAAUGACGGUACCCUUGGAGGAAGCCCCGGCUAACUACGUGCCAGCAGCCGCGGUAAUACGUAGGGGGCAAGCGUUAUCCGGAAUUAUUGGGCGUAAAGAGUGCGUAGGUGGUUUUGUAAGCGCGGGGUGAAAGGCAAUAGCUCAACUAUUGUAAGCCCUGCGAACUGUGAGACUUGAGUGCAGGAGAGGAAAGCGGAAUUCCUAGUGUAGCGGUGAAAUGCGUAGAUAUUAGGAGGAACACCGGUGGCGAAGGCGGCUUUCUGGACUGUAACUGACACUGAGGCACGAAAGCGUGGGGAGCAAACA